RNAcentral lists this ribosomal RNA (443 nucleotides) under uncultured soil bacterium. Its description in RNAcentral is "bacterial SSU rRNA". It matches the Rfam family "Bacterial small subunit ribosomal RNA", at positions 26 to 518 of the family's 1533-position model. The record is from RNAcentral.
AGAACGAACGCUGGCGGCAGGCUUAACACAUGCAAGUCGAACGCCCCGCAAGGGGAGUGGCAGACGGGUGAGUAACGCGUGGGAAUCUACCCAGUUCUACGGAACAACUGAGGGAAACUUCAGCUAAUACCGUAUACGCCCGAUAGGGGAAAGAUUUAUCGGAAUUGGAUGAGCCCGCGUUGGAUUAGCUAGUUGGUGGGGUAAUGGCCUACCAAGGCGACGAUCCAUAGCUGGUCUGAGAGGAUGAUCAGCCACACUGGGACUGAGACACGGCCCAGACUCCUACGGGAGGCAGCAGUGGGGAAUAUUGGACAAUGGGCGCAAGCCUGAUCCAGCCAUGCCGCGUGAGUGAUGAAGGCCUUAGGGUUGUAAAGCUCUUUCAGUAGGGACGAUAAUGACGGUACCUACAGAAGAAGCCCGGCUAACUUCGCGCCAGCAGCCGC